This is a non-coding RNA of Arachis ipaensis, 223 nucleotides long. The record is from RefSeq and is a predicted model, not a curated record. Lineage: Eukaryota; Viridiplantae; Streptophyta; Magnoliopsida; Fabales; Fabaceae.
UUAUUUAAACAGUUGGUUAUUUAAAAGAGGGGAAAAGGAAGGUUUGGAUUUAUGAAAAAGAACUCAAACAGUUUCAUAAAUUUUGGAAGAUAUCUGUUUGGAAUUACAAUCGUGUUUCAUAAAGGAACAACUUCAAAAGAAACACUUUCCAAGGGUAAAUAAGUAUGAGCAAGAGAGUUGGUAAAUACCCCAGUGUGACUGCGGCAAGCUUGAUAGCUCGGCU